RNAcentral lists this ribosomal RNA (273 nucleotides) under uncultured bacterium. Its description in RNAcentral is "partial 16S ribosomal RNA". It matches the Rfam family "Bacterial small subunit ribosomal RNA", at positions 524 to 796 of the family's 1533-position model. The record is from RNAcentral.
UACGUAGGGUGCAGGCGUUAAUCGGAAUUACUGGGCGUAAAGCGUGCGCAGGCGGUCUCUUAAGACAGGUGUGAAAUCCCCGGGCUUAACCUGGGAACUGCGCUUGUAACUGAGAGGCUUGAGUGCGGCAGAGGGGGGUGGAAUUCCACGUGUAGCAGUGAAAUGCGUAGAGAUGUGGAGGAACACCGAUGGCGAAGGCAGCCCCCUGGGUCGACACUGACGCUCAUGCACGAAAGCGUGGGGAGCAAACAGGAUUAGAAACCCCAGUAGUCC